This 404-nucleotide ribosomal RNA is filed under the name uncultured bacterium. Its description in RNAcentral is "partial 16S ribosomal RNA". It matches the Rfam family "Bacterial small subunit ribosomal RNA", at positions 28 to 526 of the family's 1533-position model. The record is from RNAcentral.
GACGAACGCUGGCGGCGUGCUUAACACAUGCAAGUCGAGCGGAGCGGCGAACGGGUGAGUAACGCGUGAGUAACUGCCCCCCUCUCUGGGAUAACAGUUGGAAACGGCUGCUAAUACCGGAUAGUGGGGGAUGACUCGCGUCCUAUCAGCUUGUUGGUGGGGUAGUGGCCUACCAAGGCGACGACGGGUAGCCGGCCUGGGAGGGCGACCGGCCACAAUGGGCUGAGGUACGGCCCAGACUGCUACGGGGGGCAGCAGUGGGGAAUAUUGCACAAUGGGGGAACCCCUGAUGCAUCAACGCGCGGGCGGGAUGACCUUUCUCGGGUUGGAAACCGCUUUCAGCCAUGAAGCGGUAGUGGCAGAAGAAGCACCGGCUAACUACGUGCCAGCAGCCGCGGUAAUUC